GUUUGGUAUAAAAGUUUGAUAUAUGCAUAUGUUCUGAAAUAAGACAUAUGGAAGUACGUGCAGAAAACAGGCAUUUUAUAAAAAUAUAUUUUUUAAUGAUAUUUAUUCAAUAUCGUUUUAAAAUUGACGUUUUAUUUAUCCUCAUAUACAUAUGUUGUAUUUAUAAUAAAAUUUUGUUAAACGCAAAGUAUCAUUUAUUAUAUACAUACAUUGACUUUACAUUUUAGAUGAUUAACUUUGAUAAUGUUAAAGAAACGAAAACUUAAUAUAGAAACUGUAUAGUUUGUAAUUGUCAAAUUUGGAUCAUAAUGUUAAUCGUUGUAUUACGUUUUAAAAUCAAGGAAAUGACUAAACAAUACUAGUUUGAUCAUCGAAUGAAAACCUGAUAAAUAAAGAUUUAUACAUUUUGUGUGUAUGAUGUAACAAAGUAAAAAAAAUAUAAUAGUACCUUGGUAGCGAAUUGAAAGUUGAUUUAAUAAACGCGCAAGAUAUGUGAAUCUUAUUGUACAAGUGUAGUGUUUAUUAAAACCCACCAUCGUGAAGGUUACUUAUCAUAUCGAAUAAUCAAAUCUUUUUUAUAUUGCAAAAAUGUGGUUUUAUUUCUUGCUUGCUAUUUUUACGACAUUUAAUUUUGCGAUGGCCUCGUCCAGCUUUGAUUUUGGAGAUACCUUAGCAUUGAUCAUUGGAUUGAUUAUUGGAAUCAUUGGAUUUUUUGCCUGUAUGGGUGCUUACGCACGGCAUCGAAAUCGUAUGGAAGCAAUAGCAUAAUUAUUAUAAGCACUUCACAACUCCAUUAAUCGCUAUUCAAUACAUAUAAAAUUAAUGAAGAAAAUGCCUGAAGUGACUGUUUUGAAUAUGUUUGAUAAUAUAAAAUUUAUAUAAAGAUUGCUUCAAAACUAACAGAAAUUAAAAGUUUUUUAUCAUGAAAUUUCUAUAAUUUAAUCAAUAUAAAUAUAAGUUAACAUCUUUGUUGCCACAAACUAUUUUUAUAUCUACUAUACUAUUAUUGUAAGAUAAUUAUUAAACAAAUGUAAAUAAAAAUGGUAAUGAUAUGUAGAUAUCAUGAUUGAAACAAU
This is a long non-coding RNA of Bombus huntii, 1076 nucleotides long. RefSeq lists it as uncharacterized. The record is from RefSeq and is a predicted model, not a curated record. The transcript has 2 exons. Lineage: Eukaryota; Metazoa; Arthropoda; Insecta; Hymenoptera; Apidae.